This 253-nucleotide ribosomal RNA is filed under the name uncultured bacterium. RNAcentral describes it as "partial 16S ribosomal RNA". It matches the Rfam family "Bacterial small subunit ribosomal RNA", at positions 524 to 776 of the family's 1533-position model. The record is from RNAcentral.
UACAGAGGGGGCAAGCGUUGUUCGGAAUUACUGGGCGUAAAGGGCGCGUAGGCGGCCCGCUAAGUCGAACGUGAAAUCCCCAGGCUCAACCUGGGAACUGCGUCCGAUACUGGAUGGCUUGAAUCCGGGAGAGGGAUGCAGAAUUCCAGGUGUAGCGGUGAAAUGCGUAGAUAUCUGGAGGAAUACCGGUGGCGAAGGCGGCAUCCUGGACCGGCAUUGACGCUGAGGAGCGAAAGCCAGGGGAGCAAACGGG